GGGUCGUUAGCUCAGUUGGUAGAGGCAGUUGACUUUUAAUCAAUUGGUCGCGAGGUUCGAAUCCUGCACGACCCACCA
RNAcentral lists this transfer RNA (78 nucleotides) under Salmonella enterica subsp. enterica. Its description in RNAcentral is "tRNA-Lys". It matches the Rfam family "tRNA". From Rfam's summary of the family: Transfer RNA (tRNA) molecules are approximately 80 nucleotides in length. Their secondary structure includes four short double-helical elements and three loops (D, anti-codon, and T loops). Lineage: Bacteria; Pseudomonadati; Pseudomonadota; Gammaproteobacteria; Enterobacterales; Enterobacteriaceae. The record is from RNAcentral.